RNAcentral lists this ribosomal RNA (1554 nucleotides) under Klebsiella variicola. RNAcentral's name for it is "bacterial SSU rRNA". It matches the Rfam family "Bacterial small subunit ribosomal RNA". Lineage: Bacteria; Pseudomonadati; Pseudomonadota; Gammaproteobacteria; Enterobacterales; Enterobacteriaceae. The record is from RNAcentral.
ACUUAAAUUGAAGAGUUUGAUCAUGGCUCAGAUUGAACGCUGGCGGCAGGCCUAACACAUGCAAGUCGAGCGGUAGCACAGAGAGCUUGCUCUCGGGUGACGAGCGGCGGACGGGUGAGUAAUGUCUGGGAAACUGCCUGAUGGAGGGGGAUAACUACUGGAAACGGUAGCUAAUACCGCAUAACGUCGCAAGACCAAAGUGGGGGACCUUCGGGCCUCAUGCCAUCAGAUGUGCCCAGAUGGGAUUAGCUAGUAGGUGGGGUAAUGGCUCACCUAGGCGACGAUCCCUAGCUGGUCUGAGAGGAUGACCAGCCACACUGGAACUGAGACACGGUCCAGACUCCUACGGGAGGCAGCAGUGGGGAAUAUUGCACAAUGGGCGCAAGCCUGAUGCAGCCAUGCCGCGUGUGUGAAGAAGGCCUUCGGGUUGUAAAGCACUUUCAGCGGGGAGGAAGGCGGUGAGGUUAAUAACCUCACCGAUUGACGUUACCCGCAGAAGAAGCACCGGCUAACUCCGUGCCAGCAGCCGCGGUAAUACGGAGGGUGCAAGCGUUAAUCGGAAUUACUGGGCGUAAAGCGCACGCAGGCGGUCUGUCAAGUCGGAUGUGAAAUCCCCGGGCUCAACCUGGGAACUGCAUUCGAAACUGGCAGGCUAGAGUCUUGUAGAGGGGGGUAGAAUUCCAGGUGUAGCGGUGAAAUGCGUAGAGAUCUGGAGGAAUACCGGUGGCGAAGGCGGCCCCCUGGACAAAGACUGACGCUCAGGUGCGAAAGCGUGGGGAGCAAACAGGAUUAGAUACCCUGGUAGUCCACGCUGUAAACGAUGUCGAUUUGGAGGUUGUGCCCUUGAGGCGUGGCUUCCGGAGCUAACGCGUUAAAUCGACCGCCUGGGGAGUACGGCCGCAAGGUUAAAACUCAAAUGAAUUGACGGGGGCCCGCACAAGCGGUGGAGCAUGUGGUUUAAUUCGAUGCAACGCGAAGAACCUUACCUGGUCUUGACAUCCACAGAACUUUCCAGAGAUGGAUUGGUGCCUUCGGGAACUGUGAGACAGGUGCUGCAUGGCUGUCGUCAGCUCGUGUUGUGAAAUGUUGGGUUAAGUCCCGCAACGAGCGCAACCCUUAUCCUUUGUUGCCAGCGGUUAGGCCGGGAACUCAAAGGAGACUGCCAGUGAUAAACUGGAGGAAGGUGGGGAUGACGUCAAGUCAUCAUGGCCCUUACGACCAGGGCUACACACGUGCUACAAUGGCAUAUACAAAGAGAAGCGACCUCGCGAGAGCAAGCGGACCUCAUAAAGUAUGUCGUAGUCCGGAUUGGAGUCUGCAACUCGACUCCAUGAAGUCGGAAUCGCUAGUAAUCGUAGAUCAGAAUGCUACGGUGAAUACGUUCCCGGGCCUUGUACACACCGCCCGUCACACCAUGGGAGUGGGUUGCAAAAGAAGUAGGUAGCUUAACCUUCGGGAGGGCGCUUACCACUUUGUGAUUCAUGACUGGGGUGAAGUCGUAACAAGGUAACCGUAGGGGAACCUGCGGUUGGAUCACCUCCUUACCUUAAAGAA